Molecule: transfer RNA, 68 nt
Filed under: Scleropages formosus (Asian bonytongue)
Lineage: Eukaryota; Metazoa; Chordata; Actinopteri; Osteoglossiformes; Osteoglossidae
Rfam family: tRNA
About the family: Transfer RNA (tRNA) molecules are approximately 80 nucleotides in length. Their secondary structure includes four short double-helical elements and three loops (D, anti-codon, and T loops).
Source: Rfam by way of RNAcentral
GCUAGUAUAGUGUAUAGUGGUGCUGUCUUUGGAUCCAAGAAGUAGAGGUUCAAAUCCUCUUUCUAGCU